RNAcentral lists this ribosomal RNA (794 nucleotides) under uncultured Glomus. RNAcentral's name for it is "SSU rRNA". It matches the Rfam family "Eukaryotic small subunit ribosomal RNA", at positions 318 to 1114 of the family's 1831-position model. Lineage: Eukaryota; Fungi; Glomeromycota; Glomeromycetes; Glomerales; Glomeraceae. The record is from RNAcentral.
ACUUUCGAUGGUAGGAUAGAGGCCUACCAUGGUGGUAACGGGUAACGGGGUGUUAGGGCACGACACCGGAGAGGGAGCCUGAGAAACGGCUACCACAUCCAAGGAUGGCAGCAGGCGCGCAAAUUACCCAAUCCCGACACGGGGAGGUAGUGACAAUAAAUAACAAUACGGGGUUCUUUCGGAUCUCGUAAUUGGAAUGAGUACAAUUUAAAUCUCUUAACGAGGAACAAUUGGAGGGCAAGUCUGGUGCCAGCAGCCGCGGUAAUUCCAGCUCCAAUAGCGUAUAUUAAAGUUGUUGCAGUUAAAAAGCUCGUAGUUGAAUUUCGGGAUCAAUAUGUUGGUCGUGCCUUGGUACGUACUGGCGUCAUUGGUUUCUACCUUCUGAAGAACCUCGAUGUCAUUAAUUUGGUGUCUUGGGGAAUCAGGACUGUUACUUUGAAAAAAUUAGAGUGUUUAAAGCAGGCUCACGCUUGAAUACAUUAGCAUGGAAUAAUGAAAUAGGACGUUUGAUUCUAUUUUGUUGGUUUCUAGGAUCGACGUAAUGAUUAAUAGGGAUAGUUGGGGGCAUUAGUAUUCAAUUGUCAGAGGUGAAAUUCUUGGAUUUAUUGAAGACUAACUACUGCGAAAGCAUUUGCCAAGGAUGUUUUCAUUAAUCAAGAACGAAAGUUAGGGGAUCGAAGACGAUCAGAUACCGUCGUAGUCUUAACCAUAAACUAUGCCGACUAGGGAUCGGAUGAUGUUAAUUUUUUAAUGACUCAUUCGGCGCCUUACGGGAAACCAAAGUGUUUGGGUUC